CGCUGACACACUCGCCGCUGACGCCGGCGGCGACGACCAGAUCCUGGCCGUCCCCUCCCCUUCCCGUCAGAUCCGUCCAGGUCCAGCGGACGACGGUGACCAUCUCCGGUAGCCGGUAGGUCCUCUCUCCAGCUCACCUUCUCCCACUGCCCCUUCAUGACGCUGCUGCUUUGUCUUGCUGGACUCGCGUGCUCGUGCGUCUCCCCGCGUCAUGGAAGUGUUGCUUUCUCUUGCCGUCGGCGGCCCCGAGUGUGUCGUGCUCGUGGACGGCUCUCGAAUGCGUCCUGAUCGUGGCCGACUCUUGCUGCUAUUUUUGCUGUGUGCCGUGUUGCUACUGUUGCUUGCCGGCCGUUGCGCAUGUCUUGCUCGUGGCCGGCCCUUGCUGCUCAUGGCCUACAAUUUCUGCUAUUGUUUUUUUCUGCCUUGCUGCUCCUGCUGUUGUUUGUUGUUUCCCUAUUGCCGUUUCUUUUAGUUGGCUCAUUUGGAUAAUUGACCCUGAUGAUAUUGUGUGUAGAUAUUGGGUUCACUGAAGAGUUGUUGAGUUAUUGGGUGGGAUUUUCUUACUAGGUUGUUGCAAAGGUACCAGUUCAUUGGUCAAUGUCAAUCGUAUUUUACCCUUCCCCCUGUGGUGGCGCGCUCCUGAGCAGUACAUUUUAUUCACAGUACCCUUCUUUUUGUUCUCAUGUUAGUUUUAAAGUACUUGCAUUUUCCUGUGUUGAUUGCCUUGCCAAUGUGCUGUUUUCUUUGCAGGAAUUGAACCAUGUCACUCGGAAAUCAGAGAGCAGGCAACAAUAGUUUUAGAUUUUAGUGAUUCUGGUAGGCGCAGCUGAACUACAAUACUGAACAGGCUAAUGCUGUUCCAGUUGAUUCUUGAGUUUAUUGCCAUGACAAGAUGCAAUUUGCCUGCAAUCAUCUAAGUUUGUUGUGUCUAACAGUGCCUUAUUUUGUUCAGAAUAUUUACUUACACAUUUUAAUUUUGUUGCAUUGCAUAUUUAACCAUUUCCUGAUCUCCAUAGUAUUGCUAGCUCCUUAGGUGUAAUGUUGCUUAAAAGAUGCCAAAGUCGUAUCUGAAGUUUUUCAUGAUACAAACAUAUAUUUGUUUGUUUGUAGGGUUCAGAUUUUAAGAAUUCCAGUGUGUUGCUGACUAUUUCAAUUUUUUCGGCAAAUUGGACGCUCUUGACUGAUAUUGCUAGCAAGCUGUGAAGCAAAGAUAAUUGUUGGUCUCUACAGGCGAGCCGCCAACAUGAAGAAAUCCUUGCAUGUUUUUUUACCCUUGAAUCAGUUUGCAUUUCACCCUUAUUUUUGGUACAUUGUUCUGCAACAUUUUAUUCCAAUUGUAUGGUGGCUACUUUAAUUGUAAGAGAUGUAUGCUUACAAAGUUUAAUUAUCUUUUUACCAAUAAAAGGGUGAUCGCUUCUUCCUCCUAAA
Molecule: long non-coding RNA, 1428 nt
Filed under: Triticum aestivum (bread wheat)
Lineage: Eukaryota; Viridiplantae; Streptophyta; Magnoliopsida; Poales; Poaceae
Description: long non-coding RNA (TAES_LNC026860)
Source: RNAcentral